RNAcentral lists this ribosomal RNA (265 nucleotides) under uncultured bacterium. RNAcentral's name for it is "partial 16S ribosomal RNA". It matches the Rfam family "Bacterial small subunit ribosomal RNA", at positions 55 to 339 of the family's 1533-position model. The record is from RNAcentral.
AUGCAAGUCAAGGGGGCCCGCAAGGGCAACCGGCGAACGGGUUAGUAACACGUAGAUACAUACCACUGAGACAGGAAUAACCUAGAGAAAUCUAGGCUAAUACCUGAUAGUUCCCUCACGGGUAAAGGUUUCGCAAGAAGCCGCUUAGUGAAUGGUCUGCGGCCUAUCAGCUAGUUGGUAAGGUAAUGGCUUACCAAGGCUAUGACGGGUAGGCGGUGUGAGAGCAUGACCGCCAACAGGGGUACUGCGACACGGACCCCACUCC